AUUGAACGCUGGCGGCAGGCUUAACACAUGCAAGUCGAGCGGAGCGGCGGACGGGUGAGUAAUGCCUAGGAAUCUGCCUGGCAGUGGGGGAUAACGUCCGGAAACGGGCGCUAAUACCGCAUACUAUCAGAUGAGCCUAGGUCGGAUUAGCUAGUUGGUGGGGUAAAGGCCUACCAAGGCGACGAUCCGUAACUGGUCUGCGAGGAUGAUCAGGCACGCUGGAACUGAGACGCGGUCCAAACGCCUACGGGAGGCAGCAGUGGCGAAUAUUGGACGAUGGGCGGAAGACUAGUGCAGCCAUGCCGCGUGUGUGAAGAAGGUCUGCGGAUUGUAAAGCGCUUUUAGUUGGGAGGCGUUACCUACAGAAUAAGCACCGGCUAACUACGUGCCAGCAGCCGCGGUAAUAC
RNAcentral lists this ribosomal RNA (407 nucleotides) under uncultured bacterium. RNAcentral's name for it is "partial 16S ribosomal RNA". It matches the Rfam family "Bacterial small subunit ribosomal RNA", at positions 30 to 526 of the family's 1533-position model. The record is from RNAcentral.